GCUUGGGCCCUGGGUGGCAGGUUUGCGCAGCCCUGCGGCGAUUUCAAGGCAAGUGACCGGAAUGGGUCGGAAGCGCGUCCCGUGAAAUCAAACCAGAAAUCAAAAAUGGAAGGAUAGGUGGCUGGCAAGAUGGUUGAAUAGGAACAGCUCCGGUCUGCAGUUCCCAGUGAGAUCAACACAGAAGGACUGUCCAUGCUUCAAUCAUUUCUAUCCAAUGAAAUCUCUACAGAAGGCCCAAGGGGACUGAUGAGUCUCCCUCUGAUGCCGAGCCGAAGCUGGACUGUACUGCUGCCAUCUCGGCUCACUGCAACCUCCCUGCCUGAUUCUCCUGCCUCAGCCUGCGAUUGCAGGCACGCACCGCCACGCCUGACUGGUUUUCGUAUUUUUUUUUGGUGGAGACGGGGUUUCGCUGUGUUGGCCGGGCUGGUCUCCAGCUCCUAACCACGAGUGAUCUGCCAGCCUCGGCCUCCCGAGGUGCCAGGAUUGCAGACGGAGUCUCGUUCACUCAGUGCUCAAUGUUGCCCAGGCUGGAAUGCAGUGGCAUGAUCUCGGCUAGCUACAACCUCCACCUCCCAGCUGCCUGCUUUGGCCUCCCAAAGUGCCGAGAUUGUAGCCUCUGCCCGGCCACCACCCGGUCUGGGAAGUGAGCGUCUCUGCCUGGCCACCCAUCAUCUGGGAUGUGAGAAGCCCCUCUGCCCGGCUGCCCAGCCUGGGAAGUGAGGAGUGCCUCUUCCUGGCCGCCAUCAUGUCUAGGAAGUGAGGAUCAUCUCUGCCCGGCCGCCAAUUGUCUGAGAUGUGGGGAGCGCCUCUGCCCCGCCGCCCCGUCUGGGAUGUGAGGAGCGCCUCUGCCCAGCCGCGACCCCAUCUGGGAGGUGAGGAGCGUCUCUGCCCGGCCACCCCGUCUGAAGUGAGGAGCCCCUCCGCCCGACAGCCGCCCCAUCUGAGAAGUGAGGAGCCCCUCCGCCUGGCAGCCGCCCCGUCUAGGAA
Molecule: long non-coding RNA, 987 nt
Organism: Pan troglodytes (chimpanzee)
Lineage: Eukaryota; Metazoa; Chordata; Mammalia; Primates; Hominidae
Exons: 4
Source: RefSeq, a predicted model, not a curated record